Molecule: unclassified non-coding RNA, 253 nt
Filed under: uncultured Gammaproteobacteria bacterium
Lineage: Bacteria; Pseudomonadati; Pseudomonadota; Gammaproteobacteria
Description: contains 16S-23S intergenic spacer region
Rfam family: Bacterial small subunit ribosomal RNA
Source: RNAcentral
UACGGAGGGUGCAAGCGUUAAUCGGAAUUACUGGGCGUAAAGCGCGCGUAGGCGGUUCGUUAAGUCAGAUGUGAAAGCCCCGGGCUCAACCUGGGAACUGCAUUUGAUACUGGCGAACUCGAGUAUACUAGAGGGGGGUGGAAUUUCAGGUGUAGCGGUGAAAUGCGUAGAGAUCUGAAGGAACACCAGUGGCGAAGGCGGCCCCCUGGAGUAAUACUGACGCUGAGGUGCGAAAGCGUGGGGAGCAAACAGG